UACGUAGGGUGCAAGCGUUAAUCGGAAUUACUGGGCGUAAAGCGCGUGUAGGCGGCCCUGCAAGUCGGGUGUGAAAUCCCACGGCUCAACCGUGGAAGUGCACUCGAAACUGCAGGGCUAGAGUCCUGGAGAGGAAGGUGGAAUGCUUGGUGUAGAGGUGAAAUUCGUAGAUAUCAAGCGGAACACCGGUGGCGAAGGCGGCCUUCUGGACAGUGACUGACGCUGAGACGCGAAAGCGUGGGGAGCAAACAGG
This 253-nucleotide ribosomal RNA is filed under the name uncultured bacterium. RNAcentral describes it as "partial 16S ribosomal RNA". It matches the Rfam family "Bacterial small subunit ribosomal RNA", at positions 524 to 776 of the family's 1533-position model. The record is from RNAcentral.